UUUGAUGAUCUUCACAGUCUUCUCUUUGUUAUGUUUCUUUUUCAUUUUUUAUUUAUGUAGCUUUCAAUUUAUUUGGAUUGGUGUUUCUAAACCUUAAACUGAUAUGUAUUUGUUUUUCUUUUUUGUGUUGAGGCAUGAGUCUUGACAUUAGAUCUAUAUCCAGUAGCACACUCGAUUAAGUAGAAUUUGGGACCAUCACUUAACAAUGCCCUUUUAUUUCAUUUUUUAUUUUAUUUUAUUUCAUUUAAUUUUUAAUUUUAUUUAUUUAUUUAUUUUUUUCAUUACUUGCAAGUGCAUUUUAGAAAGGAGCUUCAUGAAAUAUAAAAUUCAGUUCACUUACAGGUGAGGACUUUGAUUGUGAAAGUUGUUCUCUGUCAUACAAAAACUGAUAUGUAUGGUUGAUCGCUCCUCUCUUGUUGUAAUCAUCCAUGUCCUUUUAUUUCAUUUUUUAUUUUAUUUUAUUUUUAAUUUUUAAUUUUAUUUAUUUAUUUUUUCAUUACUUGCAAGUGCAUUUUGGAAAGGAGCUUUAUGAAAUAUAAAAUUCAGUUCACUUACAGGUUAGGAUUUUGAUUGUGAUAGUUGUUAUCUGUCAUACAAAAACUGGUAUGCAUUCAAUAGAAUCACAGAAAAAGUUGGAAACAAAGCUUAAGAGACACAAAGCAUUGGAACAGAGCAUUGAAAAUCAUUCUGUUUCUUUUCAAUCAAAGCAAAAGAGACCCAUCAAUUUGGGUUUGUGUUUCUAAGAUUUGGAUUUGGAUUUGUAUUUGUUUUUCUAAAUCUCAAACUGAUGUGUUUGUGUUGGAUUUGUGUUUCUAAACCUUAAACUGAUAUGUAUUUGGGUUUCUUUUUC
This is a non-coding RNA of Camellia sinensis, 850 nucleotides long. The record is from RefSeq and is a predicted model, not a curated record. Lineage: Eukaryota; Viridiplantae; Streptophyta; Magnoliopsida; Ericales; Theaceae.